This 481-nucleotide ribosomal RNA is filed under the name uncultured Sphingobacteriales bacterium. RNAcentral describes it as "bacterial SSU rRNA". It matches the Rfam family "Bacterial small subunit ribosomal RNA", at positions 900 to 1382 of the family's 1533-position model. Lineage: Bacteria; Pseudomonadati; Bacteroidota; Sphingobacteriia; Sphingobacteriales. The record is from RNAcentral.
CUUAAAGGAAUUGACGGGGCCCGCACAAGCGGAGGAGCAUGUGGUUUAAUUCGAUGAUACGCGAGGAACCUUACCUGGGCUCGAACGUAAGAUGACUGUAGGUGAAAGCUUACAUCUCUUCGGAGCAUUUUACGAGGUGCUGCAUGGUUGUCGUCAGCUCGUGCCGUGAGGUGUCGGGUUAAGUCCCAUAACGAGCGCAACCCCUACCUUUAGUUGCCAUCAGGUAAUGCUGGGGACUCUAAAGGAACUGCCUACGCAAGUAGUGAGGAAGGCGGGGAUGACGUCAAAUCAGCACGGCCCUUACGUCCAGGGCUACACACGUGCUACAAUGGCCGAUACAGAGGGCAGCUACCUGGUGACAGGAUGCAAAUCUCCAAAGUCGGUCUCAGUUCGGAUCGGAGUCUGCAACCCGACUCCGUGAAGUUGGAUUCGCUAGUAAUCGCGCAUCAGCCAUGGCGCGGUGAAUACGUUCCCGGGCCUU